This 253-nucleotide ribosomal RNA is filed under the name uncultured bacterium. RNAcentral's name for it is "partial 16S ribosomal RNA". It matches the Rfam family "Bacterial small subunit ribosomal RNA", at positions 524 to 776 of the family's 1533-position model. The record is from RNAcentral.
UACAGAGGUGCCAAGCGUUAGGCGGAAUCACUGGGCUUAAAGCGCGUGUAGGCGGGUCGUUAAGUGUCCGAGUGAAAUCCCACGGCUCAACCGUGGAACUGCCGGGCAUACUGGCGAUCUUGAGGCAUUCAGGGGCGAGCGGAACAAAUGGUGGAGCGGUGAAAUGCGUAGAUAUCAUUUGGAACGCCAAUGGUGAAAACAGCUCGCUGGGAAUGAUCUGACGCUGAGACGCGAAAGCCAGGGAGCGAACGGG